This is a long non-coding RNA of Hemiscyllium ocellatum (epaulette shark), 395 nucleotides long. RefSeq lists it as uncharacterized. The record is from RefSeq and is a predicted model, not a curated record. Lineage: Eukaryota; Metazoa; Chordata; Chondrichthyes; Orectolobiformes; Hemiscylliidae. The transcript has 3 exons.
AAACAUUCAGGCUGCUGAGAACAUUGAAAAGUCCUGCAGUGAGAAAGGUGCUAUAAAAAAAGGCCUUGAAGGAGUGCGGCAGGGCAAGGAGAAAAAUACUUAACCACUUCUCAGAUUGGACUGGAUUGAAAUGACCAUGAACAACUCGGGAUUGGGAAAUGACACACCCAUUCUUGAGAACUGGACAAAGUGGAAAAGCACUACACGGCAGGAAGGCCUUAUGUUUGGCCUGGGAGGAGGAUUUUGCAACACUGCUCCAAGGAGUACAGCGAUGCAGAGAGAACAGGUGACAUCCUGGUGUAUUCACGCACCACAUUCUCCAAAAGUCUAGGGCUUACUGAUAAAUACCACAGACUCUGGAAAAUACCUUGUUUUUUCUGGCCUCAUGUAACGGA